Molecule: ribosomal RNA, 418 nt
Filed under: uncultured bacterium
Lineage: Bacteria
Description: SSU rRNA
Rfam family: Bacterial small subunit ribosomal RNA
Source: RNAcentral
AUUCGGCUUAGAGUUUGAUCCUGGCUCAGAGCGAACGCUGGCGGCAGGCUUAACACAUGCAAGUCGAGCGCCCGGGCAACCGGGAGCGGCAGACGGGUGAGUAACACGUGGGAACGUGCCCUUUGGUUCGGAACAACCCAGGGAAACUUGGGCUAAUACCGGAUAAGCCCUUACGGGGAAAGAUUUAUCGCCGAAGGAUCGGCCCGCGUCUGAUUAGCUAGUUGGUGGGGUAACGGCCCACCAAGGCGACGAUCAGUAGCUGGUCUGAGAGGAUGAUCAGCCACACUGGGACUGAGACACGGCCCAGACUCCUACGGGAGGCAGCAGUGGGGAAUAUUGGACAAUGGGGGAAACCCUGAUCCAGCCAUGCCGCGUGAGUGAUGAAGGCCCUAGGGUUGUAAAGCUCUUUCGGUGGGGA